This 29-nucleotide ribosomal RNA is filed under the name Maxillaria horichii. Its description in RNAcentral is "partial 18S ribosomal RNA". Lineage: Eukaryota; Viridiplantae; Streptophyta; Magnoliopsida; Asparagales; Orchidaceae. The record is from RNAcentral.
UCCGUAGGUGAACCUGCGGAAGAUCAUUG